Molecule: ribosomal RNA, 496 nt
Filed under: uncultured bacterium
Lineage: Bacteria
Description: partial 16S ribosomal RNA
Rfam family: Bacterial small subunit ribosomal RNA
Source: RNAcentral
GAUGAACGCUGGCGGCGUGCCUAAUACAUGCAAGUCGAGCGAACAGACGAGGAGCUUGCUCCUCUGACGUUAGCGGCGGACGGGUAAGUAACACGUGGAUAACCUACCUAUAAGACUGGGAUAACUUCGGGAAACCGGAGCUAAUACCGGAUAAUAUAUUGAACCGCAUGGUUCAAUAGUGAAAGACGGUUUUGCUGUCACUUAUAGAUGGAUCCGCGCCGCAUUAGCUAGUUGGUAAGGUAACGGCUUACCAAGGCAACGAUGCGUAGCCGACCUGAGAGGGUGAUCGGCCACACUGGAACUGAGACACGGUCCAGACUCCUACGGGAGGCAGCAGUAGGGAAUCUUCCGCAAUGGGCGAAAGCCUGACGGAGCAACGCCGCGUGAGUGAUGAAGGUCUUCGGAUCGUAAAACGCUGUUAUUAGGGAAGAACAAAUGUGUAAGUAACUAUGCACGUCUUGACGGUACCUAAUCAGAAAGCCACGGCUAACUACGU